This 518-nucleotide ribosomal RNA is filed under the name Physella gyrina. RNAcentral describes it as "partial 16S ribosomal RNA". The stretch from base 1 to 151 matches the Rfam family "Archaeal large subunit ribosomal RNA", at positions 1898 to 2084 of the family's 2987-position model. The record is from RNAcentral. Lineage: Eukaryota; Metazoa; Mollusca; Gastropoda; Physidae.
AACAAAAUCAUAGUCAGUAGUUUUUUUAUUUAAAAGAUUAUUGAUAUCUUCUGCCCGGAGUAACUUUAUUAACGGCCGCAGUACCUUGACUGUGCUAAGGUAGCAUAAUCAAUUGGCUAUUAAUUGUGGUCUGGAAUGAAAGAAGUAAUGAAUAGUAGCUAUAAUAAUUAGUGUUUUUUUAAUUAGUUUAUCUGGUGAAAAUACCAGUAAUUUAGAAAAAAGACGAGAAGACCCUUAGAAUUUUUAAAGAAAAGUGUAUAACAUUUUUUUAAAUAGAAAAAAUAUGAUUACAUCCUAAUUGUUUGUUGGGGCGACAAGAAAACAAAACUUAAAAGAAACUUUUCUAAUUUUAUUAAAAAAAUUUAUGAUAAUUAUGUGACGAAAUUUUUAUGAAUAACUAAAUUACCUUAGGGAUAACAGCAUAAUGAUAAUUUUAUUUAGUAUGUGACCUCGAUGUUGGGCUAGGAACUUUACCACUCCCAGAGGAAAAAGAAUGUUCUGUUCGAACAAUAAUUUCC